CACGCCGGCCAAAACUUCUUUAUAUUUUAUAACACUGGCUCAUUCAGAAGUAUAUAUGAAAGUUUGUCUUGGAUGUUGCCCAGGUUUGAUUAUCAUUUAAAAAUACUUUAUGAAGAAAAAAAAUUGAUAAAGAAAAUGAUUAACUUUGUCUUUGCUUCGUAGUCUGAUGACCGCGAUUCCAAGCGGGAUUCCCUUGAGGAGGGGGAGCUGAGAGACCACCGCAUGGAGAUCACCAUAAGGAACUCCCCGUACAGAAGAGAAGACUCCAUGGAAGACAG
Molecule: small RNA, 278 nt
Filed under: Pongo abelii (Sumatran orangutan)
Lineage: Eukaryota; Metazoa; Chordata; Mammalia; Primates; Hominidae
Description: retained intron
Source: RNAcentral